Molecule: unclassified non-coding RNA, 411 nt
Filed under: fungal sp.
Lineage: Eukaryota; Fungi
Description: partial internal transcribed spacer region
Rfam family: Eukaryotic small subunit ribosomal RNA (bases 1-46)
Source: RNAcentral
AAGUCGUAACAAGGUUUCCGUAGGUGAACCUGCGGAAGGAUCAUUACAACGUAUCCACGUAUAAACAAACGCGAACAUCCCGUUAGAGUGUAAAGCCAGGCAGCUGGUCUGAAGUUAAUCGGUCGAACUGUAUAUCAUGUGCUUCGUCGAUGGAGUGGGUGUUGCAGCAACACUACUGGAGCACUGGUUCUGACCCGGAUAAGCCCUUGUGGUAGAUCCGAGCUUCGUUUACCUCUGACGUGUAUUAACCAUCGGUCAUAUGUACCUUCAUUAACCCUUUAUAACUAAUUGAACUGAGCUUGUAAAGUCUGCGGUUGUCCUUGCUGGCUUCGGUCACGGCAGCUUAACGUAGCCUGUUUUCCUCAUUACGAAACAAAAGAACAACUCUUAGCAACGGAUAUCUUGGUUCUC